AUUGAACGCUGGCGGCAUGCUUUACACAUGCAAGUCGAACGGCAGCACGGGCUUCGGCCUGGUGGCGAGUGGCGAACGGGUGAGUAAUAUAUCGGAACGUACCCAGAAGUGGGGGAUAACGUAGCGAAAGUUACGCUAAUACCGCAUACGAUCUAUGGAUGAAAGCAGGGGACCGCAAGGCCUUGUGCUCCAGGAGCGGCCGAUAUCUGAUUAGCUAGUUGGUGAGGUAAAGGCUCACCAAGGCGACGAUCAGUAGCUGGUCUGAGAGGACGACCAGCCACACUGGAACUGAGACACGGUCCAGACUCCUACGGGAGGCAGCAGUGGGGAAUUUUGGACAAUGGGCGCAAGCCUGAUCCAGCAAUGCCGCGUGAGUGAAGAAGGCCUUCGGGUUGUAAAGCUCUUUUGUCAGGGAAGAAACGGUAGAGGCUAAUAUCCUUUGCUAAUGACGGUACCUGAAGAAUAAGCACCGGCUAACUACGUG
RNAcentral lists this ribosomal RNA (484 nucleotides) under uncultured bacterium. RNAcentral describes it as "partial 16S ribosomal RNA". It matches the Rfam family "Bacterial small subunit ribosomal RNA", at positions 30 to 507 of the family's 1533-position model. The record is from RNAcentral.